RNAcentral lists this ribosomal RNA (529 nucleotides) under uncultured bacterium. Its description in RNAcentral is "bacterial SSU rRNA". It matches the Rfam family "Bacterial small subunit ribosomal RNA", at positions 8 to 526 of the family's 1533-position model. The record is from RNAcentral.
AGAGUUUGAUCCUGGCUCAGAUUGAACGCUGGCGGCAGGCCUAACACAUGCAAGUCGAACGGUAGCACAGAGGAGCUUGCUCCUUGGGUGACGAGUGGCGGACGGGUGAGUAAUGUCUGGGAAACUGCCCGAUGGCGGGGGAUAACUACUGGAAACGGUAGCUAAUACCGCAUAAUGUCUACGGACCAAAGCGGGGGACCUCCGGGCCUCGCGCCAUCAGAUGAACCCAUAUGGGAUUAGCUAGUAGGUGAGGUAACGGCUCACCUAGGCGACGAUCCCUAGCUGGUCUGAGAGGAUGACCAGCCACACUGGAACUGAGACACGGUCCAGACUCCUACGGGAGGCAGCAGUGGGGAAUAUUGCACAAUGGGCGCAAGCCUGAUGCAGCCAUGCCGCGUGUAUGAAGAAGGCCUUAGGGUUGUAAAGUACUUUCAGCGAGGAGGAAGGCGUUGUGGUUAAUAACCGCAGCGAUUGACGUUACUCGCAGAAGAAGCACCGGCUAACUCCGUGCCAGCCGCCGCGGUAAUUC